Molecule: ribosomal RNA, 537 nt
Filed under: Trigonopterus sp. 52 AR-2022a
Lineage: Eukaryota; Metazoa; Arthropoda; Insecta; Coleoptera; Curculionidae
Description: partial large subunit ribosomal RNA
Source: RNAcentral
GGCCUAUUGAUUAUAAUUUUAGGUCUAGCCUGCCCACUGAGACGUUAAAUGGCCGCGGUAUAUUGACCGUGCAAAGGUAGCAUAAUCAUUAGUUUUUUAAUUGAAAGCUAGAAUGAAAGGUUUGAUGAAAAAAUUUCUGUCUCUGUUAAAAUUUUAUUAGAAUUUUAUUUUUAAGUUAAAAAGCUUAGAUUCAUAUAGAAGACGAGAAGACCCUAUAGAGUUUGAUAAUUGUUUGAAAAAUUGAAUUUUAGGAUUUAGAGGUUUAUUUUUCAUAUAUUUAUUUAGUUGGGGUGACUGAAAAAUUAGAAUAACUUUUUUUAAGAGAGUCCAUUAAUUUAUGAGUGCAUGAUCCUAUUAUUUAGAUUAUAAGAUAAAAUUACCUUAGGGAUAACAGCGUAAUUUUUUUUAGAGUUCUUAUCGAAGAAAAUAUUUGCGACCUCGAUGUUGGAUUAAAAUUUAUUGUUGGUGCAGAAGCUAGCAAAUUAGGUCUGUUCGACCUUUAAAAUUUUACAUGAUCUGAGUUUAAACCGGCGUARG